Non-coding RNA from Schistosoma mansoni, 45 nucleotides. The record is from Rfam. Lineage: Eukaryota; Metazoa; Platyhelminthes; Trematoda; Strigeidida; Schistosomatidae.
AUUCAGCUGACGAGUCCAAAAUUGGACAAAACACGUGUAUUGUAU